GUGUUCGCUUUGGCAGCACAUAUGUUAAGAUAGGAAUGACACAGAGAAGUUUAGCAUGACCCCUGUGUGGGGAUGACAUGCAGAUUCAUGAAGAAUCAGCCUUGCAG
Small nuclear RNA from Vulpes vulpes (red fox), 107 nucleotides. The record is from Ensembl. Lineage: Eukaryota; Metazoa; Chordata; Mammalia; Carnivora; Canidae.